CUUGUCUUGGAGCUGUAGUAACAUUAAGUAGAGAGCUGCAGUUCAAUUUCAUUUGGGAUGUUUCAUGGGAAGGCAAUGGAUAAAUGAUGAAUAGAUCAGGAGAGCAAUGCAAACUGACCUAGGCUGGAGGAAAGAGGAACUGGAAGAAAGAUGUUUCCUAUUUUCUUGGAAGAAAACCUGAGAAGACCACAUGCAUGUCCAUGUAGAGCACUGUGGACAUCAUUGAUCACCCUGUAGAUGGGUCAAGGCCUCCUCACCAUGUGAAGUCCAUGCGCUGCUUUACUUUCCAAAUCUGGAUCCAGAGAUGCCAAACCAAACCAUUCACUGCACACCUUGCCUUGCUGUAAUUUACAUUUGGCAUCAGGAUGCAGAUGUACCAACUCUUCCCAACUUUUGAAAUGAAUGAUGAUGAUGGACUUCAUACAAAAAAGCAUCUAUCUUUUAAACUCCCACAGCUCCCCUGAGCCUACAGAACUGUUAAAAGUAAAUUUAAGGCCUUUAUCUUACCAUCAAUUCACGAAGACUGGCAGCGGUGUUUACGUGGAGUCCACAAUGUGCCACCAGGCUUCCAGGGAUUUGGACACACCCUUCACCUGGAGACAUCUGCUUGGAGCAGGUGGUGGAGACAGAACUGGGCUUUCUGCUGUUUGCUGCUGCUCUACUGUCCAGACUGCCUCAGAGCAUCAGAAUGUGAUGCUUCCCCAUGGUGAGAGGAGUCAAUUUCCUGCAUACAUUUGUGCAGACCAUUUCCAGCAAAUGUUGUUUAAGAUAUCCCUUUUUAUUCUGCAUUACAAGAUGCUGGAAUCACGGCAGCUUUCAAUUUCUGCAGUUCAGCUAAGAGUAGAAAUAAAUCCGCAGCUCGUCUGGCAUUUGUUGCUUCAUGUGAUACUACAAACUACUGAGAAAAAUCAGCAUUUCAUCUCCAAGUAUUUCCUUAACCAAUAUACAUGUCUGUUAAAAAUAUCUCCUAAGAGAAAAAUACACCAGUGUAUCUACACUUUGCUUCUCUGAAGAAAGCUCUGCAUAUUUAGGGAGCAUAGCUUUGCUAUCAGAGACACUGUCAAGUUAACUACAGAUACAUAAUUCUGAAAUGUUCUGCUCGUUUAAAAAUGUCUGAAUGUUCAUAUAUCAUUAGUAAGAAUACUGCAGUUAAUUAGUUACAUAGUUAGUUCAAAAAUGUUGUUGAAGCUUCAGUGCCAGCUAAAAGAAUGUUUUCAGGCUCUUUUCUCAGCUUUGUGAGUUUCUGUGCAACUCUAAGCCUCAGUAAGUUUUUGGGUAUGCAGUGUUAAUCUGAAGUAAUGUGAGUUAUGCCGACUCCCUCUUGAGCUACUGACCCAAGGCUGGAAGGCACCUCCGGAGUUAUUCAUUCCAACCUCCUGCCCGAGGUGGGUUCAAUGCCAAGUGCAGGUCAGGUUGCUCAGGGCUUUGGGCUGAGUAUGCAGAGUCCACAGACUUUCUGGUUCCUUGCUUCAGUGCUUAAUCCUAAUGAAGAGCUUUUUUUUUCCUCAUGUCCUUGUGAUUAUUGUCCCUCACCCUUUAAUUGUGCUUCUACAGGAGAAGCAUGGCUGCCUUUUCUGUAAUCUCCUUUCAGGUAGCGAAAGAGAACAACCCAAUUCCUCACCAGCUUUCUCAACUCCAGUCUGAGCAUCCCUAGUGCUUUCAGCCUCUCUGUGUUCAGGAUGUGCUCCAAUCCAUGCUGAUGGACUUUGGCUGGGCUCUCCCCCAGGAUGUCAGCAAACCAAGUUAUAUCUUGUUGGUCCCAUCAGGGAAGGGGAAAAGCUAUAUUCCAAAUUACCUCUGCACUAUGCACUUGAAUUAAGGAACAUAAAGGAGUGUACUGCACUGUGCAAGCAGCAGUGGACUGGCAUGAAGAUAGAUGGUGUCUGAGAUGAGAUGGGGUGAAGAGAAGAAGCAAGAGGGUUUUCUCCAUUGCAGUGAGUCAUGUAAAGCAAGAAAGCACAAGCAUUAAUCUCCAGCAGAUACCACCCGCAAGGUAAAAAGAUGUCAUCAGAGCUAAGAAUGCUUUAAAACUACAAUGGAGGAAAAAUGGGUAGAAAAUACUUCUGAAAAGACGUCUCCCACUGAUAAAAAGGCGUUUGACUGUUUUCAAGUCAUUGUUAUGAAGAACGUUUGCAGAAAAAACCUUGGCACUUGAUCUGAUUUCUCACAUUUCCCCCUCUGAACUCCACGCCCCUGAUGAAGAACCAGACAGGAACGGGACCGGCUGCUCUGUAUGGAGGAGGGCUACAGAGCAGUCUGUGAGAUGGUUCGCAUCACCACUUGCUGUACUGAAGGCAGCAGACAUAGAUGUUAAGCUCAGUGAAAAGAAACUGCAAUGCAGUGCAUCAGCAUCGGGAACAAUAAACAUAAAUCUGACACCUAAUAGUUCUUUCAGAGAAUUGAUUUAAAGUCUGGAUUAUUUCCCAUCCCGGGCAUGCAUCAUAUCCCCCAGCAGCAAACUGAAGGAUGUACCGUGACCCUAGUUACUACAGAAAUGUUCAUGGAUCAGAGACCCUGCAGUCAACCUUCUUGUUCUGACCAAUCAUUAACCAGGAGGAACAUUGUGGAGCUGCCGCUGCUUUUUCCUGAGUUACUUUAACAGACUGACCACAGGCAUGUUCCUUCGUCCUUAGAAGAGUUCCAGAAGAUUAGUCAGCUAAACCUGACAAGGCUUCUGGGAAGCUGGAAAGGACUUGGCUCAGCAUAUUAGGAACUAAGUGAUGAUGACAACCCUGUGGAUUUGUUCACUCCAUCCUAAAGAGGACUUCCCGUCAUAGUACUUUGUGCAUGGAUUUAGGAAAAUUUGAAUGAUUCAAGUAGAGAUCCAUGCGUCUCUCUGGCAUGUACUCCCCGAGGGAGCUGCAAUCAAAACUCCAGGGAUGGAAAGCCAGAGACAGAACCACAUGGAUGAAGCUCUGCAUUGCUCGAGAAUACCUCCUUCAGACACAUCAUCUUCUUCCCCUGCACUUGUCUUUCACGUACUUGAUUCUGGCAGUGGCAUUAUGAAGAACUACAGGACUGAAGCAGUAAUGACACUGAAACGCAGUCCUGAAAUGAGCAAGAACUGGAUUUAACACCCAAGUUUUCCUAGUGAGAAAAGUACCUCCAAAAAUUAAACCAAACCAAAGGUGACCUGUGUGUCUUGUGCAAGGAGGAUCAGCUCUGCUCCAGAAGCCACGGCUGUUUCACUGACUGUGACAUAGCGAAAACUAAACGGCUGGCAUAUCAGCCCACCAACAGACAGAUCACAUGCCUUCCACCAAUGAAGUGAGCUAUCUGAUGCUAGCCUUGCUGAAGCUUCAAGUCCCUGCUGCUCUCCCUUUCUUCAGAGAGAACUCCUGCCGGGUUGGUGAUGUUUGCUCACUCAUUGAAAUCACAGAGCUGGUCCACAGCUGCACAAGUUUCACUGCUGGGAGGCUGCCUUCUGCUAGUCGAGUACCAUGGGAAGGAUCAAGUGGAGGAGAGCUGCACUAAUCAGAAGACACGCUGUCUGGGAAGCAAGCCCAUUUUGUUCUUCCAGAAUCCCUCCCACUGCAAGCACCAGACCUCAAAAUGACCCAGAGAAAGCCUCUCCAAUCCAAGUAUGAGUGUUUUGGAGAACUAUCGUUUGAAGAAUGCAGCUGCUUUUCACUGGUUGGUAUCUACAUGUGUAUGGAGUUCUGUGCAGUGGUUGAAUGUGCAGCGCUUCGAGACCUUUCGGUACGCGGGGAGAUUAAGGAACCACAGAGCUUGAGAGAGAGGAGUUUGCAUCCCUUGUGAGAAUUCUGAUAUCCCUGUGUUCAUAUAUGUUGAUAUUCUCUUCUGAAUGGUGACCUGUUUACGUUGGAUGGAGCCUAAAGACCCAAAGACCCUGGAUAUCCUUGGACUGAGUUGCUUAAGGACACGUUGCUUUCCAAAGACCCUGAAGAAUGGUGUGCUACCAAGGAUUUUUCAGUCCCAGCUACAGAGUGUGAUCCCACCAGGCUCAGCAGCAGGAGAGCAGCAACUGGGCUUACUGGGUGGCCAUCCUCACUCCAGCUCUUGUGGCAUCCCCACAAAAGAUGGCAUCCCCAUCUUCACCCCAGCAUCCGUUGUGGCAGCAAUGGAUCCCAGUCUGUCCUUUGGCCUCAUUCAAGUGACAGCCCUCCAGGAGACCAAGAAGAGCGAGUAGAUGAUGGCAAAAGAGCCCCUAUUUUGUCAUCAUUUGCCUUUUUGCCCCAGGAGCACUUUUCUCUUGAACACUUUUUCUCCAUUACUUUAGAAGCUUUCUAGUCUUGAAAACAAUCUAGUCAUUUUUCUAGUCUUCAGAAGCUGGAUCCUGGUUGCAUUCUU
Gallus gallus (chicken) is the source of this 4311-nucleotide long non-coding RNA. The record is from Ensembl. Lineage: Eukaryota; Metazoa; Chordata; Aves; Galliformes; Phasianidae.